GGUCAGAACCGGUCAGAUCCGGUCAGAACCAGUCAGAUCCGGUCAGAACCGGUUCUUGUUGGGGAGAUUCAGGCUGUGUGACUGGAACCGGUGGAGUUAAGAUGAUCUUUGGUACCGGAACCAGUUUGACCAUCGAACCCAAGGAAGUAAUUCCGCCGGAUUAUUACAAGCUGAAAGAUAACGACACCACAGUUUGUCUGGCAACUGGAUUUACUCAACACAAUGCAGCUGGGUUUGACAAAGCAAACGGCAGUCAGAUAACAGAUGCCAAUGGGAAACCAACAGGUUACUACAGCCAGGUGGCCUUUAUAGGGGAAACGGAUAAAUGUGGAGAUAACACCACAGAGCCUGUCCAGUGUGACGCCAGUCUGGAACCAGAUGAGAUGGUGAAUCUGGCCUCCAUUACCAUCUUCGGCCUGAGAGUCAUCUUCAUGAAGACGGUGGCCUUCAACGUCCUGAUGACGCUGCGGCUGUGGAUGAGUCAGUUUUCCACAGGAUGCGGUCGCUGAGCGUCAGAGGCGAAGGCGGCUGCGGCUGGCGCCUCUCAGCCCGCUGGGACAGGAAGCCGGCGGGGCGGGGAACCGGGCCAGGCGCCCCGACCAGAACCGGAGCAGGUCUCACACUUCCUGCCGCCGCCAGCAGCAGCUGCAGAAACAUCCAGAAAACACUCAGCAGAGGUUCAAUAAACACUAAACCUUAAUCUGGAGCAGCUGUCAAACAUGAGGCGCAGGGGCCAAAACCAGGCCGCCGGAGCUUUUCCUCUGGACGUCAGGAAAUACGACAAGAAGCUCAACAUGAUUAAUGUCAGGAAGAUCAAGCUAGCAGGCAGAUCCUGGUCACUCUGGGGCCCACAGCAUCACUCCGCCACCGCCGAGCCUUCAGCUGGGUCAACCCUGAUGACAUCACGCUUCGGUCCAGCUGACGAUGUUCUUCAGAUCCGGCUGCCAUCUUGUUUCUGGAUACUAUGACCUUUGACGUUGGCCUGAUUCUGCUGGGCCAGUUCAGAGAUGACCUUUGACCCUCCCCAGGUUGAGCAGCAGCAGCAGCCAUUAAUACAGAAAUCAGUUUUAAUUGUUUUUGUGUCAGAGGUUCAGCAGAUGCUGUUCGCUCCUUUCUGGUGUUUGUUGCUUUGACUAGGCCGACCGCACCGGAAGGCAGCAGCUGAGAGACGAGUCGGUGGUGGCAUCAUCAUCAUCAUCUUCAUCAUCAUCAUCAUCAGCAGCAGCAGCAGCAGCAGCAGCAGCUUCUUUGCGGUCGACCCAGAAUCUGACAAACAUCCGGCUGAACCAGAGAAACUCGACCGCAGAAAGUUUCCGACGGAAAAAAAAAAACCUGCAGCUGCAACUUCCAGGAAACAAGAAUCAUUCAUUCAGUUAUAAAUAUGACAACAUGAACCACAGCAGCAGCUGGUCAUCGCUACACAUUCAGAUCUAUAAUCUGGAUUAAAACUGUCAGUUUGGAACCAGAAUUAUUAAAGCAGGAAGUAAAUCUAGAUGACCUUUGACCUCAGAGGCAGCAGUAAACAGACCAAAGCAACUUUUACUGUGAAUAUCCAUUCAGUGUUUAUGAAAUAUGACAGAACAGAUAAAUGAUGGGAUUAAUCAGAUAAAUAAAAUAUGCUGUCAUAAACACAUUAAAUGAUUUAAUUCUAUUUGCUGAAGGGAAACUUUGAAACACUUUCAAUAAUUUAAGAAGGAAUUUAAUUAAAACCCAGAAGAGGAAAAAUGAGUUUAUACAGAAAUUAAAAAAUUUAAAGUUUUUAACAUGAAAAGAUGAUCAGAGUUCAGAGCAGAGCUGGAGGUCAAGAGGUCAGGGUCGUCUUCAGGACACCGUGACCCUGAGGGACAGACUGAGGGACAGACUGAGGGACAGACAGACUGAGGGACAGACUGACUGAGGGACAGACUGACUGAGGGACAGACUGAGGGACAGACAGACUGAUGGACAGACAGACUGAUGGACAGACAGACUGAGGGACAGACUGAGGGACAGACAGACUGAGGGACAGACAGACUGAGGGACAGACUGACUGAGGGACAGACAGACUGAGGGACUCUGGACUCUCAGGACGUUCCUGCUGCUCUCGCCUGUAAUGUCUCGGUUCUGCCAGCAGGAGGAGCUGCUCCGGAUCCUGUAACGAUUCCCGGCGGAUCUGCAGGAAUCUUUCCUGGCUCCUUCCUGGAGUUCGACUCGUCUCUGAAUGUUUGGCAUCGUUUGUCUCACCUGUCCAGGUGAACCAGCUGUCCUAUCAACUCACCUGAUGCAGAACAUUCAGAGCUGAGUCACAUGAGGAGGAGCAAAGUUUCACCGACUCAGUGACUGAACCGAAGACGAUUCACUGAUCUGGGUUUGGUCUGACCUGGUUUCUGUAAAGGUCAACAGAAACCUUCUCAGUCUCCUUCAGACUGGAAACAAACCAGCAGCAACAAAAGCAUCUGGAAAACCAGAUUCCUGCCACAGGAGAAUCAUCACAUUAUAAAGUUUCCGGACGACUCGGUGGUCGUGUUCCUGCUAAUGGCUGAUCGGACCUUCAGCGUAACAGAAGAGAUGUGGACAGACGUUAGGAAGGUCUCUGUCCCUCCAGGAGAGAACGGUCAGCUAGAGGAAGAGUCCAAGAAUGAAAGAACCUGGAAGGACUGAAAGACAGACUGAAAGACAGACUGACGGACAGACUGAGGGACGCCUUUAGCCAAUCACGGCGUCCUGACGGUCAUUCAGGCUUCAGGUGUGAAGCUGGAGACAAAACAGUUUCUGCUCCCAAACAUCCAGGUCGUCCCUUCAUGCUCUUAAUUCACUUUAGGACUCACAGUGUGAACAGGAUUCAGAUCUGAACCAGUUCAGCUUGGAGCCGUGAAGUUUGACUUGGACUGAACUGAGUGGAGUCGGUGAGAGGCGAACGGAAUGUUUGUUGUUUAGCAAGAUGGCUGCAAAAAAUUAUUAGUUUAACUUAUUAAAAUAUGAGUUGAAUACAACAAGCUACAUGCUAAUAUCUGGAUUGUUGUUUUAAAGACAUAUAGAUUUGUAGAUAUAAUUGCAUUUGAUUUAUAAACAUGACCAGUGAAAACAGUUCAGGCUGGUGAUGCAGAACCAGGUGAGACUUUAAGGGUUGAAGGUCUGACGGCUCAGUUGGAUCAUCUCAUCUUUGUUUGUUGAGGAAGUGAAAAAUAAAAUCUUCCACAGUUCAGCUUCCA
Molecule: non-coding RNA, 3191 nt
Organism: Poecilia latipinna (sailfin molly)
Lineage: Eukaryota; Metazoa; Chordata; Actinopteri; Cyprinodontiformes; Poeciliidae
Source: the annotation of a RefSeq genome assembly